UACGGAGGGGGCUAGCGUUAUUCGGAAUUAUUGGGCGUAAAGGGCGCGUAGGCGGCCCGGUAAGUCAAAGGUGAAAUCCCUCGGCUCAACUGAGGAACUGCCUUUGAAACUGUCGGGCUCGAGGCCGGGAGGGGGUAGCGGAAUUCCCAGUGUAGCGGUGAAAUGCGUAGAUAUUGGGAGGAACACCGGUGGCGAAGGCGGCUACCUGGACCGGUUCUGACGCUGAUGCGCGAAAGCGUGGGUAGCAAACAGG
This 253-nucleotide ribosomal RNA is filed under the name uncultured bacterium. RNAcentral describes it as "partial 16S ribosomal RNA". It matches the Rfam family "Bacterial small subunit ribosomal RNA", at positions 524 to 776 of the family's 1533-position model. The record is from RNAcentral.